GAUGAACGCUGGCGGCGUGCCUAAUACAUGCAAGUCGAGCGAACGGACGAGAAGCUUGCUUUUCUGAUGUUAGCGGCGGGCGGGUGAGUAACACGUGGAUAACCUACCUAUAAGACUGGGAUAACUUCGGGAAACCGGAGCUAAUACCGGAUAAUAUUUUGAACCGCAUGGUUCAUAAGUGAAAGACGGUCUUGCUGUCACUUAUAGAUGGAUCCGCGCUGCAUUAGCUAGUUGGUAAGGUAACGGCUUACCAAGGCAACGAUGCAUAGCCGACCUGAGAGGGUGAGCGGCCACACUGGAACUGAGACACGGUCCACCACCCUACGGGGGGCAGCAGUGGGGAAUCUUCCGCAAGGGGGGAAACCCUGACGGGACAACCCCGGGGGAGGGAUGAAGGUUUUGGGAUCGUAAAACUCUGUUUUUAGGAAAAAAAAAUUGUUGAAGUAACUGUCAACAUCUUGCCGGUACCAAAACAAAAAGCCCCGGCUAACUACGU
Molecule: ribosomal RNA, 496 nt
Filed under: uncultured bacterium
Lineage: Bacteria
Description: partial 16S ribosomal RNA
Rfam family: Bacterial small subunit ribosomal RNA
Source: RNAcentral